Molecule: transfer RNA, 72 nt
Filed under: Ovis aries (sheep)
Lineage: Eukaryota; Metazoa; Chordata; Mammalia; Artiodactyla; Bovidae
Rfam family: tRNA
About the family: Transfer RNA (tRNA) molecules are approximately 80 nucleotides in length. Their secondary structure includes four short double-helical elements and three loops (D, anti-codon, and T loops).
Source: Rfam by way of RNAcentral
UCCCUGAUAGCUCAGUUGGUAAAGAAUCCACCUGCAGUGUGGGAGACCUGGGUUCAAUCCCUAGGUUGGGAA